Magnolia sinica is the source of this 537-nucleotide long non-coding RNA. RefSeq lists it as uncharacterized. The transcript is spliced from 4 exons. Lineage: Eukaryota; Viridiplantae; Streptophyta; Magnoliopsida; Magnoliales; Magnoliaceae. The record is from RefSeq and is a predicted model, not a curated record.
AGAUCAUUAAGGCAGAUUUCACUUGUCCCUCAUAGUUCUCUACCAGUGCAAAAAACCUAAUCAAAAGGAUUUUGGACCCUAAUCCUUUAACUAUGCGUGAAGUCGUGUGGGAUGUUAGAACCUAUUUCCCAAUGGCAAUAAUUAGUGGAAGAUGCCGUGAUAAGGGGCCAUACUAUUGUGGUGCCGGAGCUGACAUGGCAUUUAGAUGAGACAUUGUUGAUUCUCACUACAAAGCAUGCCUUUAUGCUGGAAUUAACAUUAGUGGGAUCAAUGGAGAAGUUAUUCUUGGCCAGGUCCACAACUGAAGUAUCUCUGCAGCACAAGUGUUCGCAUCUGCCGACUGAUCAUCGCAUUUGUUUUUAGCAGGAUGAAGAUGAAGAGGCAUAGCUUUUUCAUAUGACUACAUUGUUUGUAUGAUGAAAUUGAUUUUCAACCAUGUGCAGUAAGCUUUCGGAUCAAAGUGAAGCUAAGAAUAUGGUGUUAGUUUAUGGAAAUUUGAUUACUAGUAAAGGCACAUCCAUGGAGUUCUCGCUUGCG